Mus musculus (house mouse) is the source of this 2859-nucleotide long non-coding RNA. RefSeq annotates it as predicted gene, 32908. The record is from RefSeq and is a predicted model, not a curated record. Lineage: Eukaryota; Metazoa; Chordata; Mammalia; Rodentia; Muridae. The transcript has 3 exons.
CCCGUGGCCACCCUCCCUUCUCUCCGGAUUUCCUGAGCUCCUCGCUUUGAGGCUCAGCAGAGCACCCGAGACAAGACAGGGCCAAGGGAGGGCUGGGGUCUUCAAGUGUUUAUUUCAAAACGAAGCAGGACAAAAUAGCGUGGAAAAUUAAUGAGGGCUGGGGUGGAGGAGACUCUCUUCUCACUGAGUCUGGCUGAAGCCUCUGCCCGGGAAGAAUCAAGAUUCCAGGACAGACCCACCUGACUCCUGACGCUGGAACUUGACUCUGGUUCUGGAGUGGAAUUGGACUCUAGCUGGGAACUGAGGGGCAGGUAGGAUUUGAAAGGAGAGAAGGGUGUGCGGAGUGGAGGGACCUCGGGAGCAAAGGCCUGCGCUCGCAUGCGUGUGUAAAGCCCUGCAUCCUGGAUUAGGUACAACCUUGACUCUGUAUAACCUUAAUCAGAACUUGCGGUCCUGCUUCCUGGGCUCCCAUUCAUGCCUUUUAGCUUCUCAGACACUCCAACCCCCCACCCCAACCUGAGUUCCUUUGCAUUUUCUUUUGAAAAUCUACUUCCUGUUCUGUUGAGUGGCGCAUCUGAAGCCCCUCUGCCCCUCACCUGCAUAUCUGGCCAGGCAUACCUGCUGGUGGGUUCCUUCUCUGCAGCCUCAAGGUUCCUCAGGAGCUCAGUCUGUCCCAGUUAACUUUAACUGUCAACUCCAUACAGACAAAAACCACUCCCUCCCACCCCUCCAUCACCAAAGGAGUCUCAGUUGAGUAAUCUAUCAGGUUGGUCUAUGAGCAUGGCUGUGUGUGUGGGGGUGGGGGGUGGGAAUUGUCUUAAUUGAUGUAGGAGGGUCAUUAUGAUUGGCACCAUUUCCUGGGCUGGUGGUCCUGGGCUGUUUAAGGAAGCUAGCUGGGAGGAAGUUGGCGAGUCAGGGAAAGAGUCAGCAACAGAGUUCUUCCAUGGUUCCUGCCUCAACUUCCCUCAGUGAUGGAAGCGUAGACCCCACUUCCCGCAAGUUGCUUUGGUUGGAGUUCUUUAUCACAGCAGCAGGAAAGGAAAACAGACACUGUCCAUCAGGUAUCUGGAUGGCUGUGAUGGCUUCUGGCUUGCUUGUCUCUGGAUUACUGCCCACAGGUAAAGUUCCAAGUGGCCUUUGGGACCCCACCUCUAAGCCCUGGAGCUUCUUCCCUGGGUUCUUCCUGUCAGUUUGCCCAACACUUUGAGCCAUUCACCAUCCCAUUAGAGUCUCAUGUGGCCUUUCUAUAGCUCCAGGUCUUUUCUGUAUCUUCCCUCUGCCUGGAACACCUUUCCUCUAAUUUCUACAUCUACCGAGGUCUCCAAACUCAGCAUCAGCAUCAGCUCUCAUGGCUUGGUUGGAUGCUGUUCCACUGGGCUGUCAAGGUACCUGUGAAGGCAGGGAUAGACCUGUGACUCUUGCACCCUUUGGAGCCUGGCAUGGAGCAGGUGUCCACAAGAGGCUGAUGUACCAACGGCCAUCCAGUUACAGAGGUGUAGGGUCGCCUUGUUCCCUUUGCAGUAGUCAGCACCAUAUUCUCCUGUCUCCCUGGCACUCAGAUAGACAAGGAUUUUGAUGGCCACUCCGGGGCAAGCAAUGAGUGAACCGGGACUUAUUUGCCUCUAAAUGUUGUUGAGGCGAUUAUAGGAUCACAGGCUGAGAAGAUGCUCUACCAGCUGUCCCUGGGUUUCCUUGGGGAAGAAAGUAGAAUUCUAACUUUCUCUCUUUCUCAUGUCCCCUGACUGUGGUCUGCUGCCCAUAGGGGACUUAGCUCUGCAUCUUAGGACCUGGCUGCUAUUGUUUUGCUGGGGAAGGCUGUGUUGGUGGCUACUGGUGUGGAAAUCAGAGGCUGAGACACAUACUUGUUCAGAUUUGUAUCUGACUUGCAGGAAUCCUGUCCCUUAAGUGAAGGUACAUGACCCCCCAGGCCAGGCUGCAUCUGCCCAUCAUGAACUUCUUUGGAGGAAGCAUCGAGAUCCAUUUGUCCAGAGACUGCCAACUCCUCCUAACCAGGCAGCUAUCCUAGGCUCCACUGCUCUGAGCUGCUCAGACCUCCAAGUAUCUCCCAUCCCUAAGGACACUCUGCCACUGCCCUGCUACCCUCAGAAACCGUCUCCCAAGCUCAAGGUAUGACAGGAAUCAGAAAUAUGGUUGGUGUUCCUCCUGAUUCUCAGCUUCGUGGUGAGAUGAUGUGGUGUUGGGUUCUCUGGAACUGGAGUUACAGGUGAUUGUCAGCCACCUGAUGUGGGCGCUGGGAACUGAACCCAGGUUCUCUACAAGACCAUCUGAGUCAUCUCCAGCACUUACCUAUUUUUUUAUGUGGUGUGUGUGUGUGUGUAUAUAUACACAUGCAAACAUGGGUGUAUAUUUGCGCAUUUACGUACACACAUGAGGAGGCCAGACCUGGGUGCUGGGUAUCCUCCUCUGUCAUUUUCUACUGUAUUCCCUAGAGCCAGAGCCUCUCACUGAACCUGAUCUCACUGUUGGUGGAUGGAAGAAAAAACAUUAAAAAUAUACAGAAUGGAGCUAGAGAUGUAGUUUAAAUCAGUGAGUGCUUGCCCAGUGUACAAGAGGUUGGGGGGGAGAUUAAUCCUUAACAGGCACGCACACAUACAGGGGCACGAGCACACACACACACACACACACACACACACACACAAACAUACACACACACACAGACAAACACACACGAGGUGAGGGACUAGAAUAAGCAAGAAGAUAAUAGAUAAAUGAUUGGGUCUGGCUAGGGUGUAGGGACUGAGAAGAAAAUAGGAACAAUUAUCAAUGGGAUCUCUCUCUCUCUCUCUCUCUCUCUCUCUCCCUUCCCCUCCUCUCCCCUGUCCCUUCCUCUCCCCUCCU